GCGGCGGCUCCAUGGUGCCCGCCGCCCCCCCCCGCCCCGCAGCAACAGGCGGGACGAGGAGGAAGCGGCCCCCGGGGGUGCCCACCGCCCCGCCGCCGGCCUGAGCCGCGCCGCCCCACGGGAGCAGCCAGCGGGCUCGGGGCGCCCGCGGGCCGCCGGCGAUGGCGAACCAGCUGGUGAUCCUCAACGUGUACGACAUGUAUUGGAUGAAUGAGUAUACUUCUUCCCUUGGAAUUGGAGUAUUCCAUUCGGGUAUAGAGGUGUAUGGCCGAGAAUUUGCCUAUGGUGGUCAUCCAUACCCUUUUUCUGGAAUAUUUGAAAUUUCUCCAGGAAAUGCUUCCGAGCUAGGAGAGACAUUUAAAUUCAAAGAGGCUGUGGUUCUAGGCAGCACUGACUUCAUGGAAGAUGAUAUAGAAAAAAUAGUAGAAGAGCUUGGAAAAGAAUUCAAAGGAAAUGCUUAUCACCUAAUGCACAAAAACUGCAAUCACUUUUCUUCAGCUUUAUCUGAGAUUCUGUGUGGAAAAGAGAUUCCACGAUGGGUGAAUCGUCUCGCCUACUUCAGCUCUUGUAUACCAUUUCUCCAGAGCUGUCUGCCGAAGGAAUGGCUGACUCCUGCAGCCCUCCAGUCCAGUGUCAGCCAGGAGCUACAGGAUGAGCUGGAGGAAGCUGAGGAUGCAGCAGCAUCUGCUUCCUUGGCAAGCUCAGCAUCCGGGUCUAGAACUGGACGCCACACCAAAUUAUAAGUCCUCCUCCAAAGUACUAAAUGGUUUGAAAUACUUCAGUUUAAUCUCUCCAGCAAUUGACUUUCUGACAGAACGUGAGAGCUGACUCCAGAACAUUGUUUUUAUAUGCAAAAAUGGCUCUCAUCAGCCCCUGUUUCAGCUCAGGAUUAUUUAAGUAGCGAAAAGAAUUGCUGGGAGAAAAGGGAAGGAUUUUAUGUGAAGCCACCCUUUUCAUUUUCACCUGUUUGCUAGACCUGAGUUAACAUCUUGUAUAAAGUAGAACUUAAAUUAUUUGUUUACAGUAUUGUGUACUGCUGUUUACAAGUCCUAUAAGGACUCCUGCCACCAUGGAAGAAGAGAGAAUGUGAGUUUUACUGGCGUAACUCGAAGGCAGUGGUAUGAUGCCCUGGCUAUGAACUCUCCCCUUUGUUUUCAAGAUUUAAGGCAGGUGAAACUUAAAUUUCUGAGAAAUGCUAGAAACUGCUGAAUGCUAUCCAUGUGAACAGGGUACCGUACGUUCAAAGUGGCUGAUGUAAACAGGUAGAUUCCAGGAUGUAGGGAGACUGAUUUUUGUGUAAGAUCUGUUAUUGAAGUAUGACCUCUACAUUCAUGAAGUUGAGGAUUUUUGCACAUACGAAGUGAAAUUUCUAUCUCAUUACACUGCACAUUGAUCCCUCACAUUUUGUUUUUUCUUUUAAAUUCAGCCAUGCAGUUUGCAUAGUAUCUUCUGUCCAUAUUUACAGUCUACUUCAACCAGAAUUUAGAUCUAUGAUUAUCGCCUCUUAAAAACAUCAACAGUUUUUUCACUGUUUGUGUUACUUGAUUUAAAACUUGUAUAUACAAAGUUAGUACUUGUAUUAUUUUUUUUUAAUUUUUAUUAUUAUUCAUGUAGUUUGAAUAGCAUAAUACAAGCCAUUUAUGGUUGGGGAAUGGCCUUGCUUCCUGCUGCUGAUUUUUGCUUCAUUUAAGUUUGUAAACAUCAGUGGGUUUUGUUUUUGUUUUUUAACCUAUAUAUUACCACCUGGUUGUGCAUAUCUGCACAAAUUAUAGAGAAAUCUUAAUUUAUUUUCCCACAGUUUCUAUCUGUGGCAUUAACUUUCCUGUCAGAUGUAAUGAAGAAAAACCCGAAAAUUGCUUAUGCACCUGCGUGUUUACACAGCAGAACCUGCUAAUCUGCACACGUAAUUAUGUCUGAAGCUGUACAGAUGAAAAUACUGUCUCCACUUUUUGUUUAAAUACAUCCAUUUGUAAGUCCUGUGAGGAAACUGACACCUGAACCCUGAAGCUGUUGGGUAUUUCAUCAAAGCAAGUGGUACUGUAACUUCAGUCACGUGCUGUGAACUUGGCCUCCGCUGGAUGCCCGCAAGAAGUCACCCUGCCAGCGGUUACUCCGAUUUGUUAGCAAUAGAGCAAGUUACCUUUCACCAGCAUUACUGCCAAGCAGGGAUUACUUUAGUCUACUAAUGACCACACUGUGCUAGGACUAGAACACUCCAAAAUGCUGUGAGAAAGCUGGACACCUGUGGAGUCUUUUCCAUCAAAACGGGUAGAAAAAUAAUUUGCUACUUCAGGGUUCUGCUCUGUUUACUUUCUCAUUCUCGUUUAGUUUUCUGUAAGGUAAUACUUUUGAUACGUAGUGUAUUCCUUAACUCUGUCGUUUUAUUUAAAUGCCAUUUUCUGUUCAGCAAGCCAAAAAAAUCCAAUGUACUGUCAGCGUGCACCAGAAACUUCAGAGUGGCUUGGUAAAAAUAUACUUGCAUUACUUCUAAAAUUUGCAAUGCAAUUCUGAUCACUAUUGAUACAUAGUAAUUUUCACUGUUGGAAGUUGGUUACAAGCUGAAUAAUCACUGAUGCAUUUUGUUUUGUAAACUUGUAUUCAAGUUUACUGUACUACAUAGUAUUUGUAUAAAAUUCAAAGAAUUUUGACUUUUGUUACCUUGUACAUGGCAACAAGUUGUCUAGCAUCUUAAAUCCAUCUGUUUAUUAAAAAUACUUUUAUAAAAAAGACAGUUGACUGUGCUUUUCUUAUUCUCCCGGUACCUGUAGCCUGUGUUUAUCAGUGCUGUGUGAACUGACAUUUCUUUCAAAUGAUGCCUUACGUGAAAGGUGGGUAGCUUUGCUGUAGUUACUUCAGCUGUAUAUAGGCUAUAUUCUCAUUUGGGCAGUUUGGUUUGAUUGAAGCAUAAUUAAUUAGAAGCUGUUAGUUUUUAAAAGGCUAGUUUCUGAAAGUUCUCGUAUUCUGCAUGCCAACCACUACCUGUGGGCAUGCAGCCACUUGGAGUACACUUGGGUUAUAUUGCAGGUAUUACAUGUCAUGCUGAUGUGCUCCAAAACCCAGAUCUGUAGUCUUGGCUUUGCAGCAGACUAAACAAGUACUAGGUAAUGCCCCAAGGGGCUCAGCUGUUAGUGACAGAUCACUGACAGCCAGCAAGGAACCUGGGCUCUGUGUUUAGCUAUGCUUUGUGAGCUAAGCAUGGCAUCUCCACGUAUGCUGCUGAAGAGGAGUGGCUGGGAUAGGAGCUGGUAGAGAAGCUGCUGAAGUAUAGGUGCGUUACUUUGUCCAACUGGACCUGAAUGACUGUGAGAGCUGCAGAGGUGCGAGGAGCUUACUGAAACAAGAUUUGACAAAGGAGACAGAGUACUUCUCUUAAAACUAAUAAUGCAAAUAGAAAGAUCUCUUCUGCCUGGGGAUUUUCCGCUCUACACUCUUCAAGAUUUCACUUCUGUCAUCUCUUAAAAGCAGAAAUUUUGAAAAUGUAGAUGAGUGAGAAGUUGUUGUAGCUGUUGGUCCAGAAAACACACCUGUGACAUCCAAUGGCCAAAAGUGCUUACCCACUUUAAGGCAGCAUUCGGUACCCAAAAGGUAUAUAUAGGCUAAAUGUGUGUCAGGUACCUACCUGCUGAGCUGGGGCAUGGGCAAAGCCUAUUAGGCUACAGCUAAACGUGAUCAACCCCCAGCAGGGAGGGUCAGGAGCAGAAGACUGUUCCCAGUAAGUGCUUUGCUCCAGGGUGAUGGUGAAUGUGGGUUAGGCUGCUUCUAUCCUGUUUCCCAGGUCUGAAUGGUCCUUAGUGUUUGCUCAAGCAAAACAGGGCUUUCCUCCCAGAAUAAGAAUAAAGCCCAAUUAAAACCACCUAAUGACAAAACAAAUCAUCUCAAACAGAAAAUGACUUGCAUUUCCUGCCUGGGAUUCUGAAGCUUAUGGGUUUUGUUCUGCUUUUUCCAUUCCCAAUUUGCCUGUGGGAAACACUGCCUCCUCCCAACUUUACCAGCACGAGUACGCAAUAGCUUGUUGUUCUUUGCCUGGAAGGAGCUGCUGAACAUUUAAAUAGCUGCAGCUGAGUUUAUUUUUCUUCUAUAUUUCAACUUAUUCAUUACUACAGUUACAGGAUCCUGAAAGCGAGGGCUUCGAGAGUACUGGAAUUUUUCCUCUUUUUCAACAAAUUAAUUCACAUGUGUUACGCAGUAUUAUUUGAGUAAGGACUAGCAAGAGCUAUGAUAGCAUAGCCAGCUCAAAUGUAAAAGUCACUGAUGUUCUUAUGUUGAAGAGACAUAAAAAGCACAGUAAAGACACUGAAUGAGAACCAGGAGGAAACAGGCUGCAUAGCUACUGUACCCACUGUAAUGCAAUGGAAAACACAACAAUGAUGGCAGAGUAACAAAGUCCUAGGCUGUAGCAAGUGAGGACCUGCUCAAGUGCAAGAGCCAUGGGCACAGAAACAAAGGAAAGAAUCCACGUACCUUUGGAAGGCUUCAGGGAUCUCCAGCAAGAUACAUUUGCCUCCACUGCCAACCCUUAAAUGAGGUAUGGGAUGGGGUGGAUUCUGGCUCCACCCCUUCCAGUCACUCAGAUGCAUUGCAUGCUCCUGAGUUCCCCUGGGUUGGCCCUGCCUUCCCACCAGGUGCUCAAUCAGUGGUUCAAGCUGUGACUGAGCAUUCCCACUACACGCAGUUACUGUUACAUAGGUAUGAUUUAGGGCUUUGUAGUAAGUGGAAAUGAAAGUCCAUAUAGUGCUUAACAAAAUGCAACAAUAAAGCACUGCCAAAAAGUGUUCCUGAAAUGCAAAACAGUGUCUACUGUUCGUAAUGGCUGCAAAGCUGUUCUGUUAUCUUGUUUCACUGUCCUUUUAGCUUUAUGCUAGUAGCAAACCAGAUACUGGUCUAACAAAAUUCUCUGUCAGCAACUGCAUUUUCAGUUUCUCUGUUCUGGAUGGCAUUGGAAGAUAAGACUCAUAAAAGAGGAGACUGAUUUGUGUGAGUAUGUUUCUGUGUUUCUUCCAAUUCUUGUUCCUAGAUUAAAAAAAAGAAAUCAGCAAGACCUGCCACACACCCAAACUCCUGCCAGUCAGCCAAGGCAGCCUGCUCUGGGGGUGGAUUCCCAGGC
This is a non-coding RNA of Phasianus colchicus (ring-necked pheasant), 5104 nucleotides long. The record is from RefSeq and is a predicted model, not a curated record. NCBI's taxonomy places the organism in Eukaryota, Metazoa, Chordata, Aves, Galliformes, Phasianidae.